Molecule: long non-coding RNA, 791 nt
Organism: Armigeres subalbatus
Lineage: Eukaryota; Metazoa; Arthropoda; Insecta; Diptera; Culicidae
Exons: 3
Source: RefSeq, a predicted model, not a curated record
CUUGACCUUCUACACUACCUAUUAUCACUAUCAACCGACGCGGACAAGCUGAGAAUGCGGUUUGCUUCGAGUGAAUACGCGUGAUGCCGUAUUCGAAUUUUGGAACGUGCUUUUGGACUUCGUUAAAUCCGUUGCAGCAACUUCAUUGACCUGGGCAUUUCUACCACGGGCCACACUGUCUUUGGAUAGAGAUCUUACUCCGGCACCGGUCAUGGCGUUCUUAUAAUCAAACCGGAGAUUACGCCAGAUGAUAUUGAACUUCCUGCGGUCCGAGAUUGAACGAGUCAUCGAAUGGAAAAUUUUCAUCAUAUCGUGAAGAUAAUCAGUAAAUUUUUCCCCCCUAGACUGCCGUCUCUCAGUUGCUUGUACUUCCAGCUGAAAGUCCAAAUCGGGUGGCAAAAAUUCCCGUUUUAAUUCUUUUUUCAGCUCAUGCCAAUUCCGAAAAUCCCUAUUCUCGGUUCCCUCAAUGAACCAGUCUUUUGCGCGCCCCGCAAAAAGAUGAAUGGCACUCCUGUAUAGCUCUUUCUCUGUGAUGUCCUCAGAGAUGCAUCUCAUUUUAACUUCCUUUAGGAACUCAGUUAGCUUUCUUCCCUGAUCUUUUCCAUCAUACUUUAAUCUCCAUUCAGCUACCGGAAUUCUCUUCAAUUCCCUCUUUCUUCUACCUUCUCUCCUCCCUCUCUCCCUUUUAUGUCCUACAUUGGACUCUAAGCUACUAUCCGAACUAGAGUGAUCUGAGCUUUCGGUUACUGAUGUAACCUCAGAUGCAGAUGAGAAGCUUUGUCUGCGAUGUC